CCCCAGAUGUUGCUGAACUACAACUCCCAUGAUUCUCUGGCUAUCUAUUUAAUUCAAAGAAUCAUGGGAGUUGUAGUUCAGCAACAUCUGGGG
Pelobates cultripes (western spadefoot toad) is the source of this 93-nucleotide non-coding RNA. The record is from the annotation of a GenBank genome assembly. NCBI's taxonomy places the organism in Eukaryota, Metazoa, Chordata, Amphibia, Anura, Pelobatidae.